AGUCAUGCUUGUUAACUAAAUAAUUACUAUCAAAAUAUCUACAAAUUAGUAAGUAAAAGAGGUAAUCUCCAAUGCACAAGUCCUGAUGGAAUUUCUUCAUUUCAAUUUCUAAUUCAUUUAGUUACAUCAAGCAGUUUCAGUCAUGUACCUGGAAUUCGAGAGAACAGAAAAGAAGAGUGAGGGUCGGCAUUCAAAGAGAUAGCAGCAAAGUUUCAGCAGUAAAAUCUACCUAGAAACGAUCAAAGGGAAACCAUUUAAACCCACUUGGAACCAAACCACAUCAACAAACACCAACCCUCAGAAAUACACCCCAAAUAAGCUCAAAUGAACCAGAGAAUACUUCAAAUCUCCGAGAUUGCAGACAUCAGCAGCAGAAAAUCAAUGAAACAGUGAAAUUUUUGUUAUUUUCUAUUUUUGUAUGUAAUUCUUUUGUAUUUUUGUGUAUCUAAAUGCUGAAACUAAUCUAAGACUGAAAAUGAAAGGAAAAUCAGAUUUUCCUUGAGAAUUUUUUUAGGAUGAAAGUUGAAGACUCCUUUUACAAGGCAUUUGAUGUCCUUUUAUAGCCAAGAAGAAAGAGAACUUCAGCUAAAGGGUUUGAACAUCAGUCCAUAUUCCCUUUUUUAUUUAAAACCUAUAAUUCUAACUUUCUACCCAAGAAAGUACUACCAAAAACUGAAAGCUACAGUUUCACCCCAAUCUAGAAGCAUCUAGGAUACUCUUUUGGUUAUACAUUUCCUAAAGUUACCCUUUUCUUGUUUUAAAAAUUACAAAACCUAAAGAUUAUACCCUUUUCUAUCCCCAAACAACCCUUGUUUUUACCCUAGAUUUACUACCUAACCUCAAUCCCUUUUAUCCUAGUUAAACUUAACUACAGUUAACUAAAGAGUGAACUUUCAGCUGCAACUUAUCUUAAACACUAAUUAACCCUAAUAUCUAAUAAUCGAUUAACAAACUAAUAAACUGAAAUCAGUCCAAAUCCAAUUCUAUGUCCACCUUUGCAUGAACAGAACAAAGAAAAAGGCGGAUUAACUGACGACCAAUUAUCAUCAAAACAGGUUAAACUGAAUUAUCAUUAGCAACUAAAAGUGAAGAACAAUGAUAUCACGAUUAAACUAAACACAUACCACAAAUAAAUGAAAUUAUAGUGAGAUUAACAAGAACACAGUUGAAUCAAGAAUACACAAUAUGACAAAAUUGAACAUAUGAGACAGCUGGAAUGAAAAGGAAGAAGAAAAGAAACUAAACUAUCCUACUGAAGAAAAAGUCAUAAAAAUAAAAGAUGCUUACCACCAAAAUCACUCGACCCAGAAACAAAUCCCCAAUACAAGUCAAACUGCAUGAACCCUAAAUCCAAAAAUCUGCAAGCUCUACCGAGUUUCCAAAAAUUCUAGCAUAAAAAUCGUCAUGAGGUAGGUUAGGGAACUGUGGGGUACGAAUUUGGAGCCAUUUGGGCAGAGUGCCAUUUUAGGCUCGAACUCAGUCAAAUAUUCUAUGAAGUGUAGUUAGAUUUGAGGGAAGCUGGUGGCAUGAGUAGAAAGAGGAUAGUGAAGAGAGCAAUUGGUGUUAUUUUGAUUGGAUUUGGUGACCGGCACUGCCAGCGGCGGCUUAGGGAAUUGAGGGUGGAGGUCUGUAGAGUUUGAAGGAAAG
This 1647-nucleotide long non-coding RNA is filed under the name Nicotiana benthamiana. Its description in RNAcentral is "long non-coding RNA (NBEN_LNC010650)". Lineage: Eukaryota; Viridiplantae; Streptophyta; Magnoliopsida; Solanales; Solanaceae. The record is from RNAcentral.